GGAGUAUCUGUUUAGUUUAAUAGUUUAAUUAUUUAUAUUUAGAAUUGCACUGAUUGCUGAUGUAAACUACAUUUCCCGGAAUGCUUUGUCAGACCGGAAGUUCUGAUUCCCAGACCGGAAGUGAGGGAGAUUUAUCAGAAAACACGAGAAUCCUCAAACUUGCACGACGAACGUAAAACCGGAAAUACCGAUCGGCAACCGGAAGUACGAUCUGGACGAACCAUGCCCCGCCGGAAACAGCUAAACCCC
Pelobates cultripes (western spadefoot toad) is the source of this 249-nucleotide non-coding RNA. NCBI's taxonomy places the organism in Eukaryota, Metazoa, Chordata, Amphibia, Anura, Pelobatidae. The record is from the annotation of a GenBank genome assembly.